This 239-nucleotide unclassified non-coding RNA is filed under the name Hevea brasiliensis (rubber tree). The record is from RNAcentral. Lineage: Eukaryota; Viridiplantae; Streptophyta; Magnoliopsida; Malpighiales; Euphorbiaceae.
GUGACUCUUCCUAAAACAAAUUGAAGUUUAGUCACCGUACUAAAAUCAAUGAUGAGUUAAAUGAUGAUCGGUAAAAUCAAGCCUACAUGUUUUAGUCAAAGUCUUUUGGUAAAAAUGGUAGUUUCUAGUUCCUUCUCCCAAUUUCUCAACAAACCAAAUAGUUCAUACUAGAUUUGAUACAAAACAACCAUGAGAGUAGUUUUGAGUAAUAAUUAUUAAUUUCAUCUAGUGCUGAUUCU